This 27-nucleotide non-coding RNA is filed under the name Bombyx mori (domestic silkworm). Lineage: Eukaryota; Metazoa; Arthropoda; Insecta; Lepidoptera; Bombycidae. The record is from RNAcentral.
UCACAUAACCUUUUUGGGUGUACCGUC